This 994-nucleotide ribosomal RNA is filed under the name uncultured bacterium. RNAcentral describes it as "bacterial SSU rRNA". It matches the Rfam family "Bacterial small subunit ribosomal RNA", at positions 487 to 1482 of the family's 1533-position model. The record is from RNAcentral.
UAAGCACCGGCUAAUUCCGUGCCAGCAGCCGCGGUAAUACGGAAGGUGCAAGCGUUAAUCGGAAUUACUGGGCGUAAAGCGCGCGUAGGUGGUUUGUUAAGUUGGAUGUGAAAGCCCUGGGCUCAACCUAGGAACUGCAUCCAAAACUAACUCACUAGAGUACGAUAGAGGGAGGUAGAAUUCAUAGUGUAGCGGUGGAAUGCGUAGAUAUUAUGAAGAAUACCAGUGGCGAAGGCGGCCUCCUGGAUCUGUACUGACACUGAGGUGCGAAAGCGUGGGUAGCGAACAGGGUUAGAUACCCUGGUAGUCCACGCCGUAAACGAUGACAACUAGCUGUUGUAAGACAAUGUCUUUCAGUGGCGCAGCUAACGCUUUAAGUUGUCCGCCUGGGGAGUACGGCCGCAAGGCUAAAACUCAAAUGAAUUGGCGGGGACCCGCACAAGCGGUGGAGCAUGUGGUUUAAUUCGAUGCAACGCGAAAAACCUUACCUACUCUUGACAUACUUGGGAGCUCUUGUAAUGAGAGUGUGCCUUUUGGAACCAAGAUACAGGUGCUGCAUGGCUGUCGUCAGCUCGUGUCGUGAGAUGUUCCGUUAAGUCGGAUAACGAGCGCAACCCUUACCCUUAUUUGCCAGCGAUUCGGUCGGGAACUAUAAGGGGACUGCCGGUGAUAAACCGGAGGAAGGUGAGGACGACGUCAAGUCAUCAUGGCCCUUACGAGUAGGGCUACACACGUGCUACAAUGGGAAAUACAGACGGACGCUAAGCCGCGAGGUGGUGCUAAUCCUAGAAAGUUUCUCGUAGUCCGGAUUGGAGUCUGCAACUCGACUCCAUGAAGUCGGAAUCGCUAGUAAUCGCGGAUCAGCAUGCCGCGGUGAAUACGUUCUCGGGUCUUGUACACACCGCCCGUCACACCAUGGAAGUGGAUUGCACCAGAAGUAGAUAGUCUAACCUUAGGGAGGGCGUUUACCACGGUGUGCUUCAUGACUGGGGUG